UGUCUUAAGUCUUUAUUACAUCGCAAUUCAUCUUCACAACAAGCAGUUGUACAUACAGAUGUCUCGAGAUUACAUCGCUGCCCAACAGGAGGA
This is a long non-coding RNA of Salarias fasciatus (jewelled blenny), 93 nucleotides long. RefSeq lists it as uncharacterized. Lineage: Eukaryota; Metazoa; Chordata; Actinopteri; Blenniiformes; Blenniidae. The record is from RefSeq and is a predicted model, not a curated record. The transcript has 3 exons.